This 465-nucleotide ribosomal RNA is filed under the name uncultured bacterium. RNAcentral's name for it is "partial 16S ribosomal RNA". It matches the Rfam family "Bacterial small subunit ribosomal RNA", at positions 28 to 507 of the family's 1533-position model. The record is from RNAcentral.
GACGAACGCUGGCGGCGUGCUUAACACAUGCAAGUCGAACGGAAAGGCCCUGCUUGCAGGGUACUCGAGUGGCGAACGGGUGAGUAACACGUGGGUGAUCUGCCCUGCACUUCGGGAUAAGCCUGGGAAACUGAGUCUAAUACCGGAUAGGAGCCAUUUUUAGUGUGAUGGUUGGAAAGUUUUUUCGGUGUAGGAUGAGCUCGCGGCCUAUCAGCUUGUUGGUGGGGUAAUGGCCUACCAAGGCGGCGACGGGUAGCCGGCCUGAGAGGGUGGACGGCCACAUUGGGACUGAGAUACGGCCCAGACUCCUACGGGAGGCAGCAGUGGGGAAUAUUGCACAAUGGGCGCAAGCCUGAUGCAGCGACGCCGCGUGGGGGAUGACGGCCUUCGGGUUGUAAACUCCUUUCGCUAGGGACGAAGCUUUUUGUGACGGUACCUAGAUAAGAAGCACCGGCUAACUACGUG